GUUCCUCUCGGCGGGGGACGCCAGCGCCUGCUUGAAGGGAGCGGCGAUGGCCGGGUGGAGCUCGGCGAGGUUCGAACCCUCCAGGAAUC
Molecule: transfer RNA, 89 nt
Filed under: Actinomadura madurae
Lineage: Bacteria; Bacillati; Actinomycetota; Actinomycetes; Streptosporangiales; Thermomonosporaceae
Description: tRNA-Leu(aag)
Source: RNAcentral